RNAcentral lists this ribosomal RNA (213 nucleotides) under uncultured bacterium. RNAcentral's name for it is "partial 16S ribosomal RNA". It matches the Rfam family "Bacterial small subunit ribosomal RNA", at positions 524 to 734 of the family's 1533-position model. The record is from RNAcentral.
UACGUAGGAGGCGAGCGUUGUCCGGAAUUACUGGGCGUAAAGAGCGCGUAGGCGGCGCUGUACGACCGCUGUGAAAGCCCCCGGCUCAACUGGGGAGGUCAGCGGUAACGGCAGUGCUACGAGUGCAGGAGAGGGAAGUGGAACUCCGGGAGUAGCGGUGAAAUGCGUAGAUACCCGGAGGAACACCAGUGGCGAAGGCGGGCUUCCCUGGUC